RNAcentral lists this ribosomal RNA (485 nucleotides) under uncultured bacterium. RNAcentral describes it as "partial 16S ribosomal RNA". It matches the Rfam family "Bacterial small subunit ribosomal RNA", at positions 30 to 508 of the family's 1533-position model. The record is from RNAcentral.
AUUGAACGCUGGCGGCAGGCCUAACACAUGCAAGUCGAGCGGAUGAAGGGAGCUUGCUCCUGGAUUCAGCGGCGGACGGGUGAGUAAUGCCUAGGAAUCUGCCUGGUAGUGGGGGAUAACGUCCGGAAACGGGCGCUAAUACCGCAUACGUCCUGAAGGAGAAAGUGGGGGAUCUUCGGACCUCACGCUAUCAGAUGAGCCUAGGUCGGAUUAGCUAGUUGGUGGGGUAAAGGCCUACCAAGGCGACGAUCCGUAACUGGUCUGAGAGGAUGAUCAGUCACACUGGAACUGAGACACGGUCCAGACUCCUACGGGAGGCAGCAGUGGGGAAUAUUGGACAAUGGGCGAAAGCCUGAUCCAGCCAUGCCGCGUGUGUGAAGAAGGUCUUCGGAUUGUAAAGCACUUUAAGUUGGGAGGAAGGGCAGUAAGUUAAUACCUUGCUGUUUUGACGUUACCAACAGAAUAAGCACCGGCUAACUUCGUGC